RNAcentral lists this ribosomal RNA (305 nucleotides) under uncultured bacterium. RNAcentral's name for it is "bacterial SSU rRNA". It matches the Rfam family "Bacterial small subunit ribosomal RNA", at positions 333 to 653 of the family's 1533-position model. The record is from RNAcentral.
CGACGCCUACGGGAGGCAGCAGUGGGGAAUAUUGGGCAAUGGGCGCAAGCCUGACCCAGCAACGCCGCGUGAAGGAAGAAGGCUUUCGGGUUGUAAACUUCUUUUCUUGGGGACGAAGAAAGUGACGGUACCCAAGGAAUAAGCCACGGCUAACUACGUGCCAGCAGCCGCGGUAAUACGGAGGAUGCGAGCGUUAUCCGGAUUUAUUGGGUUUAAAGGGUGCGCAGGCGGCGAGUUAAGUCAGCGGUAAAAUUUCGGGGCUCAACCCCGACGAGCCGUUGAAACUGGCUUGCUAGAGUGGGCGG